GAUGAACGCUGGCGGCGUGCCUAAUACAUGCAAGUCGAGCGAACGGACGAGAAGCUUGCUUCUCUGAUGUUAGCGGCGGACGGGUGAGUAACACGUGGAUAACCUACCUAUAAGACUGGGAUAACUUCGGGAAACCGGAGCUAAUACCGGAUGAUAUUUUGAACCGCAUGGUUCAAAAGUGAAAGACGGUCUUGCUGUCACUUAUAGAUGGAUCCGCGCUGCAUUAGCUAGUUGGUAAGGUAACGGCUUACCAAGGCAACGAUGCAUAGCCGACCUGUGAGGGUGAUAGGCCACACUGGAACUGAGCCACGGUCCAGACUCCUACGGGAGGCAGCAGUAGGGAAUCUUACGCAAUGGGCGAAAGCCUGACGGAGCAAGGCCGCGUGAGUGAUGAAGGUCUUCGGAUCGUAAAACUCUGUUAUUAGGGAAGAACAUAUGUGUAAGUAACUGUGCACAUCUUGACGGUACCUAAUCAGAAAGCCACGGCUAACUACGUG
Molecule: ribosomal RNA, 497 nt
Filed under: uncultured bacterium
Lineage: Bacteria
Description: partial 16S ribosomal RNA
Rfam family: Bacterial small subunit ribosomal RNA
Source: RNAcentral